This 333-nucleotide ribosomal RNA is filed under the name Rhynchelmis rostrata. Its description in RNAcentral is "partial 16S ribosomal RNA". It matches the Rfam family "Bacterial large subunit ribosomal RNA", at positions 1959 to 2527 of the family's 2925-position model. Lineage: Eukaryota; Metazoa; Annelida; Clitellata; Lumbriculida; Lumbriculidae. The record is from RNAcentral.
GCAUAAUCAUUUGCCCGUUAAUUGCGGGCUAGUAUGAACGGGUAAACGAAAUAGAACCUAUCUCAAUUAAACUAAUAAAAAUUAGCCUCUAGAUGAAGAGAUCUAAAUAAAAUUGAAGGACAAGAAGACCCUAUAGAGCUUUACUUUAUUUAGUUAUUUAAUUAACUUUAACAGUUCGGUUGGGGCGACCUAGGAAACACAUAUCAUCCUAUACUAUCAAGAUUUACAUAUCAUUAUAUCUGACCCUAUUAUAGAUCAAAGGAAUAAGCUACCUUAGGGAUAACAGGCUAAUCCUCCCAUAGAGACCUUAUCAACAGGAGGGAUUGGCACCUC